UACGAAGGGGGCUAGCGUUGUUCGGAAUUACUGGGCGUAAAGAGCGCGUAGGCGGCACGGUACGACCGGUGUGAAAGCCCCCGGCUCAACUGGGGAGGGUCACCGGUAACGGCCGAGCUAUGAGUGCAGGAGAGGGAAGUGGAACUCCGGGAGUAGCGGUGAAAUGCGUAGAGACCCGGAGGAACACCAGUGGCGAAGGCGGCUUCCUGGUCUGCAACUGACGCUGUGGCGCGAAAGCUAGGGGAGCAAACGGG
This 254-nucleotide ribosomal RNA is filed under the name uncultured bacterium. RNAcentral's name for it is "partial 16S ribosomal RNA". It matches the Rfam family "Bacterial small subunit ribosomal RNA", at positions 524 to 776 of the family's 1533-position model. The record is from RNAcentral.